This 1369-nucleotide ribosomal RNA is filed under the name Microgenomates bacterium SCGC AAA011-M05. Its description in RNAcentral is "bacterial SSU rRNA". It matches the Rfam family "Bacterial small subunit ribosomal RNA", at positions 8 to 1287 of the family's 1533-position model. Lineage: Bacteria; Candidatus Microgenomatota. The record is from RNAcentral.
AGAGUUUGAUCCUGGCUCAGGAUGAACGCUGGCGGCGUGCCUUAGGCAUGCAAGUCAAGGGGGUCAGCCGCAAGGUUGACAACCGGCAGACGGGUGAGUAACGCGUAGGAAUCUACCCUUCAAUGGAGAAUAGCUCAUCGAAAGAUGGGGUAAUUCUCCGUAGUCCCUUACGGGUAUAGAUCGUAACUGAUCGUUGAAGGAGGAGCCUGCGUCCUAUCAGCUAGUUGGUGGGGUAAUGGCCUACCAAGGCUAUGACGGGUAGCUGGACUGAGAGGUCGAUCAGCCACAACUGCACUGAGAUACGGGCAGUACACCUACGGGUGGCAGCAACCAGGAAUAUUGGGCAAUGGGCGAAAGCCUGACCCAGCGACGCCGCGUGGAGGAUGAAGGCCUUAGGGUCGUAAACUCCUUUUUUCCGACGUAACGUCGGAAGAAUAAGCCUCUACUAACUACGUGCCAGAAGUCUCGGUAAUACGUAGGAGGCAAGCGUUAUCCGGAUUCAUUGGGCGUAAAGUGUGCGUAGGCGGUUUGAUAAGUCUUAGCUUAAAUACUGUGGCUUACCCAUAGGAAAGGUUAGGAUACUAUCUUACUUAGAGGAUUGUUAGGGAUGCCGGAACAGCUAGUGUAGCAGUGAAAUGCGUUGAUAUUAGCUGGAACACCAAAGGCGAAGGCAGGCAUCUGGGAUAUUCCUGACGCUGAGGCACGAAAGCUAGGGUAGCGAAACAGAUUAGAUACCUGUGUAGUCCUAGCCGUAAACUAUGUCCGCUAGCUGUGGGAAGUCUGACUUUCCGCGGUGUAAGCUAACGCGUUAAGCGGACCGCCUGGGGAGUACGGCCGCAAGGCUAAAACUCAAAGGAAUUGACGGGGACCCGCACAACCGGUGGAGCGUGUGGUUUAAUUCGAGACAAAACGAAAAACCUCACCAAGGUUUGACAUGCUACCGUACAGUUUUCUGGAAACAGAGAGCAAUCCGUAAGGAUGGUAGCACAGGUGCUGCAUGGCUAUUUUAUAGAUGGCCGCUCUGAUGGUAACAUCAGAGAAAAAUAACCAACCCAAAACGGUGAAGCCCUAAUUGAUUAUCAGUAUGUCUUCAGAUAUGCUGAUGUCAAUGGGUAAUACCGUGGGAAGCAAGUUUUUCUUUAGAACUGCCGAAGACUUUUAUAUUUUAGGUCUUUGGCUGGCAGAUGGAUAUUGGCGUUCAAGUUCCAUUGGCUUAACUUCGGUUGAUCCAAAAUUGAUCGGUAAGUUUUCUCAAUUUUUCCAACGGGUGGCUCCAAGCCAUUCAAUUAAAGAGAGAAUUUAUGAGGUAGAUGGAAAAAGUAAACGUAGACAAAGAGCAUUCCAGAUGUAUAUUAAUAGUAGGUCUUUA